This 253-nucleotide ribosomal RNA is filed under the name uncultured bacterium. RNAcentral's name for it is "partial 16S ribosomal RNA". It matches the Rfam family "Bacterial small subunit ribosomal RNA", at positions 524 to 776 of the family's 1533-position model. The record is from RNAcentral.
UACGUAGGGGGCAAGCGUUGUCCGGAUUUAUUGGGCGUAAAGAGCGUGUAGGCGGCCAAACAGGUCAGCUGUGAAAACUCGAGGCUCAACCUCGAGACGUCGGUUGAAACCGUUUGGCUAGAGUCCGGAAGAGGAGAGUGGAAUUCCCGGUGUAGCGGUGAAAUGCGCAGAUAUCGGGAAGAACACCCGUGGCGAAGGCGGCUACCUGGACCAGCACUGACACUGAGGCACGAAAGCGUGGGGAGCAAACAGG